This is a long non-coding RNA of Mauremys reevesii (Reeves's turtle), 4099 nucleotides long. RefSeq lists it as uncharacterized. NCBI's taxonomy places the organism in Eukaryota, Metazoa, Chordata, Testudines, Geoemydidae. The record is from RefSeq and is a predicted model, not a curated record. The transcript has 3 exons.
CGCCGGUGGGAGGGGAUUCGGCUCCCUCACAGGCAGGGGGGGAGCGCACCUGUCUCUCACUGAACGCGGGGUGGGGUCGGGCUGAGCGCUCCACCCCUUGGGGCGCGCGCACAGGCGGGUGUUGGUGAGCACAAUGCGGCGUCCGCGGGAGGGCGGUUAGCGGAGACAGUUACUCAGCUCAACAGUCGCAACUACCGAGCGCCGAUUCCCGGCUUGCGUGACUAGGGGGCGUGGUUACACCUGGCUCCCGCGUGCACGAGCAAUCGGCGGGCCGGCUCUGCCGUCAUUUCCGGCUAUGGGAGAGAGGAGGAGGAGGAGGAAAGACCCGGAUGUGGGCCGGCGAGAGAUUCGCUCAGAGACCUCUAAGCACCCGUGUCCCGAGGAAGCAGUUGUAGAGCGGGGCACGGAGGAAGUCCCGCCUCGCGCCCGAUUUCCCUAGCGCCAAGAAAACAGCGGUCUGGAGGCGCCAUCUUAGAGGGAGGACAGGGGACCGCAGUUUCUCCGCACUCAGAGUCUUGUAACCGCCGCCGCGCGCACAGCCUGUGACUAGCCAAUCCCUGGGUGCACUCGCCUCACCCCCGCAUACACCGACCCUGCUCCCUGCCGGCACCCCCGACCACACACAGCCCUUGUAUCCACCGUGCAGCCCGCCUACGCGCGCCUCUCACCCCCACGCGGAGCCAUCCCACAGCCUUCGCCCUGCAACUUGCCUACACCCCAUUGUCACCCCUACACUGACUCUUCAGCUCACCAACUGUGGUACACCCGUCUCAACUCUCUCCACACCCAUCUCUAGCAACCCACAUACACCAACCUGCAAUCCACAUAUACAUUGCCCUACAACUCACCUGAACACCCACAUCCCCCACCUCUGCACCUGUCCUGCAAUCAACAUACACAUCCCUUACCCUACUCCCACCUGCAUUCCCAAUGUACACAUCCCUAACCCUACACCAACCUGCAACCCUGCUACUGCCCCCCACACACACCUCACUCCUACACCAGCACUUUCAUUUACCUACACCCCAGGCCUGCCCAUCCUGCAACCCACAUACCCCAUUCUAGCCCUCUCCUGCACACCACCUACCUCAGCACGCACAUUCUGUGGCCCAUCUACAUCUCUGCAGCCCCUGCCUAUACCAUGCCUUGUAGCCAUCUGUUCAUCACCUAUAUCCUCUACCUCCUUGCAACUUACCUACAACCCCUCUAUACACAUCCCUUGUAAUUCACUGACCGCUCAAAUGUAUCCUGUUCCCCCACACACAUCCUGUAACCCACCUACAUCCCUUACUCUUCCUGUAACCUACCUACAACCCUAUGCACACAACCUCUAUGUACCCUGUAACCUAGGUACUCUCUACACACAUUCCCAAACAUGCACCCUGUAAUCCACCUACUGAGAACCCAUGUACACUAUAACAUAUUUACUGGUCCCUCUAACAUUUCUGCUACAUACAAUCUGUAAACCAGGUACACUCUAGAAACUUCCACUAACUCCCCCCACAUACGCAUCCUGAAUCCUUAUGCAUAGCCUGUAACCAGCCUAUACCCUCACAAGCAUUUUGUACCAAUAGGCACAAUCUGUAAUCCACCUACUCCCUCCCCACACACAGCCUCUAUCCUUACAACAUAUCUGCAGAAGACUUUUACCAUCUUGCAUUUCCACACACCAUGUCUCCAAACAAACUUUAAUCCACUUUACUCAGCUUGUAUUCUCUGUAUCUCCCUAACUACAUUGCACAAAGAACAAAAUUUUUCACAGCCCUGGGCGAUGUAGCUAGGUUGAUCUAAUUUUUUUUAAGUGUAGACCAGGUCUAAGACCUACAGUAACUGGCUGGUGGAGACUUUUUCAGUUAAGAAAUAAUAUUCAGGAAUUAGUCAAACUGUCACUGUGAUCAAGUUGAAGAUCUGGAUUAUUUGCUAAAAUAGAGCCUUUUCCUGAGAUGCUGAGCAAACGCUGCUCCUAUUGUCUUCAGGGUUCCACAAGGGUGCAGCAUUCAGAAAUCUCUCGCUAGCCUGGGGUGAAGAAGGUAGCAAUUUCAAGAGUUAUUGCAAUUAACAUUUCACUGCUGGAGAGAGUAUUUAAAUCAUGUUUCAGACCUUCUAGGUUCUAAUGGAAUAUAUGCCUAUAACUGAGACGUCUCCAUCACCAUCACAACUCUCUCCUGUCCCCCAUUACAUAUUUGGUGAAAGGACAGCCUGAAUGAAUGGUUUGAAGAUUUCCACUGAGCCUGACUGUGCCUUAGUAUUUAUAACUAGGCUAUUAAGGUUCCCCAUCUAGUCUAGUCUACUGUGUUCCAUUCAUACCAAAUGAACUUGUUGGGGCUGUGUGUAUCAGAAUUGGCACACACAAAAUGGAUUUUGUAUGUCCUUGUGACAGGGUGAAUGAACUCAAUAUUACUGUUUGUCUUUGAUCCAAAUAAGACUUCCCCAGCUCUGCUGUUUAAGUUAGUAAUUCCACAGUGCCCUUCAUGUAUCCUUUCCAACAUUGGCUUCCAAUCAUGUGGGAACUCCUAUUUUUUAAUCUUUCAUGAGUAUGCCCAAGAUUGCUGAAAGCUCAUUGUAUAUUGGGAAUGCACAGGUCAGAAGUGUUGAUUCUUCCAUCCACUACAAACAGCUUGUAAUGUUUUUCCAUCCUUAGCUAUUCCCUCUUUCUAUCUCAUCCUAUACAUCUGGUGACACAACACAUGAUGCUUUUCUCACAUUCGCGUGUACUACCUGAUUAUAACAGACUAUUUUAGAAACUAUCCAGAAAGAGUGAUACUUGCAGUUACCAUAAUAUCAGCUGAAGUCAGGCACGUUAAAACCAUGUUUGCAAGUCAUGGACUCCGAAGGCCUGCAAUAAUUGAUUCUAGCUCCCUAAGCUACUAUUUGUUCUCCCUGAGCCUUUUUCUAGCUGUCUGAAUCACCCUCUCAUCUUUUUCUCUUAUGUGUUUGAGUUUUUCAAAUCAGCUCACUGUUUGUUUCCCGUGUGUGUGGCAUGCAGAGCAAUCAAUGGGUAUUGCUGGUGCUUGACUGGUUUAACUGUGCCGCCUGUCUUAACCAUGCACCAGGCAUAACUAACUCAGGAGCACCUGACAGAAUGUGUCUGGGCUGCUGAAUACUUUUGAAAAUGUUAUUUUAGUGCUCAGCUCCUCAGCCAGGCCCUGACACUGCCAUUUUGAAGGGCUUAGCAUCCAAAACACUCUGAGAACUUAAGUACAUCUGCAAAUCAGUUCUGAAUAGCUGCAGAAUGCCUACACAUGUGCUGGGCCCCAUUUGAAGCAUACAACAGGGUACUUGGCUGUGCGAACAUUUAGAAAUUUCACCAAUAGUGUGUGAAGCAGAAAAACCAAGCUCAAAGAUCAGGCUCAUUGUUUUCACAGUCAUUUCCCAUAAAAUGUCUAGAAUUUUUUCCUAAUGAAAAGAAAAAAAUGCUGAAACCCACCCCUCCCCUCAGAAGUCUUAACAAGAGAGUCGAUCAUAUCAGCUGACGGCACAUCACAUUUGUUAAACAUACAUUAUACUUGGCCUCGCCUGAUGCUGAAAGCAACCAAAACAAAUCAGCUCCAGAAAAACUGCUUUUCUGACUUUUUGCCUUUGCUCUUUCUGCUUCUGAGCCGAUUGUUGUUGAUUGAUGCCAACCUCUACAUUGCUUAAUAGUAAUUCUCAUUAGUUUACUGCCUUACAUAUUUUAUAUCAUCUUAAUACCAAGAGCCAAAACUUGCUAUGAUUGGGGAGACGAGGCGAUCUAGGGCUAAUACUCCUUAGCUAGGACAAUGUAUAGUACAUUAGCACAGGGGCAUUUCUCACCUGUCUUCCCCUGCUGUUGGCUGCAGGUCUACUGCCAUCUCCCAUGCAAAAUAGGGAUCUUCUGCUCCAUACUACACCUUCCGUUUUUUCCUACACUAGAUUCUUUUGAGUCUUUGUUACUGCUCUGAACACAUAUUGCUUUUAGUUCUUUUCCACUAAUUUGAUGAAUUCCAAUGUUCCAGUGCAUGACUGGAUCCAGUCCCUCUCUGGGGCUAAUAUUAUUAACCUUGCUUUUUAUGUUUUGCUGUGCAGCAGCCAGCAGUACUUACGGAGUGUUCCAUGUCUUUUGUAUGGCUCUCCACAUUAA